RNAcentral lists this ribosomal RNA (483 nucleotides) under uncultured bacterium. RNAcentral's name for it is "partial 16S ribosomal RNA". It matches the Rfam family "Bacterial small subunit ribosomal RNA", at positions 28 to 523 of the family's 1533-position model. The record is from RNAcentral.
GAUGAACGCUGGCGGCGUGCUUAACACAUGCAAGUCGAACGAUGAUGCCCAGCUUGCUGGGUGGAUUAGUGGCGAACGGGUGAGUAACACGUGAGUAACCUGCCCCUGACUCUGGGAUAAGCGUUGGAAACGACGUCUAAUACUGGAUAUGACUGCCGGCCGCAUGGUCUGGUGGUGGAAAGAUUUUUUGGUUGGGGAUGGACUCGCGGCCUAUCAGCUUGUUGGUGAGGUAAUGGCUCACCAAGGCGACGACGGGUAGCCGGCCUGAGAGGGUGACCGGCCACACUGGGACUGAGACACGGCCCAGACUCCUACGGGAGGCAGCAGUGGGGAAUAUUGCACAAUGGGCGAAAGCCUGAUGCAGCAACGCCGCGUGAGGGAUGACGGCCUUCGGGUUGUAAACCUCUUUUAGUAGGGAAGAAGCGAAAGUGACGGUACCUGCAGAAAAAGCACCGGCUAACUACGUGCCAGCCGCCGCAGUAA